CGCCCACGAGGAAGUGGCGGCAGCGGCGCUGUGCGGGGCUCAGAGCCGGCUCGGCGCGUCGACUGCCCAGAGUCCGCGGCCGGGGCGUCCCGAGGUAGGGUCUCACACUUUUGCCCAGCCAACCUGGACCUGCAGGCUUCCUAAUUCUGCCUCCCGAGUAGCUGGGAUUACAGGUGCGCACCACCACACCUGGAGCCAAGCAACCAUGGCAUACCACAGCUUCCUGGUGGAGCCAAUCAGCUGCCAUGCCUGGAACAAGGACCGCACGCGUGAGUGCUGCUGCCGGGGGGCCUUCCAGGAGGGGGACCUGUGGGGACAUGCCUGGGGGACACUCAUGGGCUCCCUGAGGGCUGCCCAGGCCCACACUCUGGCCCUCUGGCACACCUGGGUGGAGGGGAUGACAAGGUCAGAACAAGCGGGUGGGUUGGGCGCUGCUGUGGGUGACACACGGUGGGGUAUGGGGGAACACCACAGGACAGCCUGGGCCUCCCCAGGGAGGGAGCAGGGACAGGAAGUGAGGAUGCAAACCUGCUGUCGGGGCAACGGAUGGAGCUAUGAAGAAAAACUCAAGGUGGCUGGGUGUGGUGCUUCACGCCUGUAAUCCCAGCAUUAGGGAGGUGGAGGUAGGAGGAUCAUGUGUUUGAGGCCAGCCUGGGCCACACAGCAAGAC
Molecule: non-coding RNA, 670 nt
Organism: Castor canadensis (American beaver)
Lineage: Eukaryota; Metazoa; Chordata; Mammalia; Rodentia; Castoridae
Source: RefSeq, a predicted model, not a curated record